UACGUAGGGCGCAAGCGUUGUCCGGAAUUAUUGGGCGUAAAGAGCGUGUAGGCGGUCCGGUAAGUCAGCUGUGAAAGUCAAGGGCUCAACCCUUGAAAGCCGGUUGAUACUGUCGGGCUAGAGUCCGGAAGAGGCGAGUGGAAUUCCCGGUGUAGCGGUGAAAUGCGCAGAUAUCGGGAGGAACACCAAUGGCGAAGGCAGCUCGCUGGGACGGUACUGACGCUGAGACGCGAAAGCGUGGGGAGCGAACAGG
This 253-nucleotide ribosomal RNA is filed under the name uncultured bacterium. Its description in RNAcentral is "partial 16S ribosomal RNA". It matches the Rfam family "Bacterial small subunit ribosomal RNA", at positions 524 to 776 of the family's 1533-position model. The record is from RNAcentral.